This 120-nucleotide long non-coding RNA is filed under the name Neogale vison (American mink). Its description in RNAcentral is "Neovison vison (American mink) lncRNA (ENSNVIG00000012948.1)". The record is from RNAcentral. Lineage: Eukaryota; Metazoa; Chordata; Mammalia; Carnivora; Mustelidae.
CAUCCUCAUAAAAAAGAAAACAAAACACUGAAAAAGCAUUACUUGAGAGGCAGACUCCAUCCAUGCCCCCUGAGUUCUUAUCUCUGGAAGUUGAACUGAUAAGGUGAGUUUUUCUUUUCU